GGUCACUAAUAAGUUGGGGCGUUCUGAUGAUUAUGGAUUCAUUGAUCCCCAAUCAAUUCAUGAAUCAAAUGAUUUUGAGCAUAUCAACAUGAGUCUGAUAAGAAGUUUUGGAAGGGGCAAGAAAAUAUACUUUUUGCCUUAUAUAUCCGGGCGCCAUUGGCAACUUCUUGUUAUGUCUAUGCAAGACAACUAUGCUUUGUGGUUCUGCUCAUUGCACAGGCCUCCUCCCACACAACUCAAACAAGCAAUUGAUUGUUCUAUUCCAGCAAGUAUGAUGAUGGGUGGGAGAUCAAUUGUUAACAGUAGAAAGAUUGCUU
Molecule: long non-coding RNA, 317 nt
Organism: Vigna angularis (adzuki bean)
Lineage: Eukaryota; Viridiplantae; Streptophyta; Magnoliopsida; Fabales; Fabaceae
Exons: 3
Source: RefSeq, a predicted model, not a curated record